Molecule: long non-coding RNA, 354 nt
Filed under: Dermacentor andersoni
Lineage: Eukaryota; Metazoa; Arthropoda; Arachnida; Ixodida; Ixodidae
Description: uncharacterized LOC126526741
Source: RNAcentral
ACUUCAUGCAUCGAAGCCAGACGAGGCCUUCAAGCUGCUGUUCUUUGCCCAUUUUGCUUUUAACAUCCAGUAUCAGAAGGAGACGAGCCUGUGCUUGGAAUUCACACAGAGGGCUAUUGCAGGUAUUAAUCCUGCAAGAGGAACAAAGGUGCAAAAGAAUGGCGGGAAGCAGCACUGCCUGUCACCAAGAGUGGCUGCACUCGUAACGGCUUCGAAAGACUAUGACUUUUAGAUUUUUAGUUUCUGUUGCUUGUGUUGUAUAACAUUUCAUUAUGUUGGGCUCAGAAAUAGUUUUCGAGCUAUAGAAGACUGCUGAUGUGACUUUCGUUUUAAUAAAGUGUUCAUUCAUAUCAA